UUAGGCCAUUGCCUGCAGCUGAUGGGCUCCAAAAAGAGCAAAACUAGUAGGUCCUGCAGUACUGGACAAAAGAACU
Molecule: non-coding RNA, 76 nt
Filed under: Chrysemys picta bellii (western painted turtle)
Lineage: Eukaryota; Metazoa; Chordata; Testudines; Emydidae
Source: RNAcentral